Molecule: long non-coding RNA, 274 nt
Organism: Sorghum bicolor (sorghum)
Lineage: Eukaryota; Viridiplantae; Streptophyta; Magnoliopsida; Poales; Poaceae
Exons: 2
Source: RefSeq, a predicted model, not a curated record
GCUCCUUUGUUCUUGCUUGUUCUUCCAUUGUUCUUCUUUGUUAUUGCUCUCAUCUUCCGCGAUCGAUCCAUUUCAACGCUUCUACGCCGUCGUCGAUUUGUUUGAAAGAUAAUGGAACGCCAUUGGAUGUACAAUGCUGAUCGCCGCUCCAACGAGUUCAUUGAGGGCGUGCGAGAAUUCCGAAGAGUGGCGGAGCAAAAUAAGCGGGAUGGUUUUAUGUGCUGCCCAUGUGCCGUUUGUAAGAAUUUGAAGGAAUUUUCAAACUCAAGAGAAA